This 492-nucleotide ribosomal RNA is filed under the name uncultured bacterium. RNAcentral describes it as "partial 16S ribosomal RNA". It matches the Rfam family "Bacterial small subunit ribosomal RNA", at positions 29 to 507 of the family's 1533-position model. The record is from RNAcentral.
AGUGAACGCUGGCGGUAGGCCUAACACAUGCAAGUCGAACGGCAGCACAGUAAGAUCGCGCCCUUACGGGUGGCGAGUGGCGGACGGGUGAGGUAUACAUCGGAAUCUUCUUUUUCUUGGGGGACAACGUAGGGACACUUACGCUAAUACCGCAUACUAUCUACGGGUGAAAGCAGGGGAUCUUCGCACUUUUCGCGUUUGAAUUAGCCGAUGUCGGAUUAGCUAGUUGGCGAGGUAAAGUCCCACCUAGGCGACGAUGCGUAGCUGGUCUGAGAGGGUGAUCAGCCACACUGGAACUGAGACACGGUCCAGACUCCUACGGGAGGCAGCAGUGGGGAAUAUUUGGCAAUGGGCGCAAGCCUGAUCCAGCCACGCCGCGUGAGUGAAGAAGGCCUUCGGAUUGUAAAACCCUUUUAUUAGGGAAGAAAAGCAGCAGGAUAAAACCCCGCUAUUUUGACGGUACCCAAAGAAUAAGCACCGGCUAACUUCGUG